This 497-nucleotide ribosomal RNA is filed under the name uncultured bacterium. RNAcentral's name for it is "partial 16S ribosomal RNA". It matches the Rfam family "Bacterial small subunit ribosomal RNA", at positions 28 to 507 of the family's 1533-position model. The record is from RNAcentral.
GAUGAACGCUGGCGGCGUGCCUAAUACAUGCAAGUCGAGCGAACAGAUAAGGAGCUUGCUCCUUUGACGUUAGCGGCGGACGGGUGAGUAACACGUGGAUAACCUACCUAUAAGACUGGGAUAACUUCGGGAAACCGGAGCUAAUACCGGAUAACAUAUUGAACCGCAUGGUUCAAUAGUGAAAGGCGGCUUUGCUGCCACUUAUAGAUGGAUCCGCGCCGUAUUAGCUAGUUGGUAAGGUAACGGCUUACCAAGGCAACGAUCCGUAGCCGACCUGAGAGGGUGAUCGGCCACACUGGAACUGAGACACGGUCCAGACUCCUACGGGAGGCAGCAGUAGGGAAUCUUCCGCAAUGGGCGAAAGCCUGACGGAGCAACGCCGCGUGAGUGAUGAAGGUCUUCGGAUCGUAAAACUCUGUUAUCAGGGAAGAACAAAUGUGUAAGUAACUGUGCACAUCUUGACGGUACCUGAUCAGAAAGCCACGGCUAACUACGUG